GUCCAGACUCCUACGGGAGGCAGCAGUGGGGAAUAUUGCACAAUGGGGGAAACCCUGGUGCAGCGACGCCGCGUGAGUGAAGAAGUAUUUCGGUAUGUAAAGCUCUAUCAGCAGGGAAGAAAAUGACGGUACCUGACUAAGAAGCCCCGGCUAACUACGUGCCAGCAGCCGCGGUAAUACGUAGGGGGCAAGCGUUAUCCGGAUUUACUGGGUGUAAAGGGAGCGUAGACGGCAUGGCAAGUCAGAUGUGAAAGCCCGGGGCUCAACCCCGGGACUGCAUUUGAAACUGUCAGGCUGGAGUGCAGGAGAGGUAAGUGGAAUUCCUAGUGUAGCGGUGAAAUGCGUAGAUAUUAGGAGGAACACCAGUGGCGAAGGCGGCUUACUGGACUGUAACUGACGUUGAGGCUCGAAAGCGUGGGGAGCAAACAGGAUUAGAUACCCUAGUACU
This 448-nucleotide ribosomal RNA is filed under the name uncultured bacterium. RNAcentral describes it as "bacterial SSU rRNA". It matches the Rfam family "Bacterial small subunit ribosomal RNA", at positions 329 to 794 of the family's 1533-position model. The record is from RNAcentral.